RNAcentral lists this ribosomal RNA (466 nucleotides) under uncultured bacterium. RNAcentral's name for it is "bacterial SSU rRNA". It matches the Rfam family "Bacterial small subunit ribosomal RNA", at positions 330 to 793 of the family's 1533-position model. The record is from RNAcentral.
ACCAGACUCCUACGGGAGGCAGCAGUGAGGAAUAUUGGUCAAUGGGCGAGAGCCUGAACCAGCCAAGUCGCGUGAGGGAAGACUGCCCUAUGGGUUGUAAACCUCUUUUGUCAGGGAGCAAUUGGCGCUACGUGUAGCGUUAUCGAGAGUACCUGAAGAAAAAGCAUCGGCUAACUCCGUGCCAGCAGCCGCGGUAAUACGGAGGAUGCGAGCGUUAUCCGGAUUUAUUGGGUUUAAAGGGUGCGUAGGCGGGCUGUUAAGUCAGCGGUUAAAUGUCGGGGCUCAACCCCGGCCUGCCGUUGAAACUGGCGUUCUUGAGUGGGCGAGAAGUAUGCGGAAUGCGUGGUGUAGCGGUGAAAUGCAUAGAUAUCACGCAGAACUCCGAUUGCGAAGGCAGCAUACCGGCGCCCAACUGACGCUGAAGCACGAAAGCGUGGGUAUCGAACAGGAUUAGAUACCCUUGUAC